This 419-nucleotide ribosomal RNA is filed under the name uncultured Anoxybacillus sp. RNAcentral describes it as "bacterial SSU rRNA". It matches the Rfam family "Bacterial small subunit ribosomal RNA", at positions 962 to 1382 of the family's 1533-position model. The record is from RNAcentral. Lineage: Bacteria; Bacillati; Bacillota; Bacilli; Caryophanales; Anoxybacillaceae.
CGAAGAACCUUACCAGGUCUUGACAUCCCUGACAACCCGAGAGACUCGGGCGUUCCCCUUCGGGGGACAGGGUGGACAGGUGGUGCAUGGUUGUCGUCAGCUCGUGUCGUGAGAUGUUGGGUUAAGUCCCGCAACGAGCGCAACCCUCGACCUUAGUUGCCAGCAUUCAGUUGGGCACUCUAAGGUGACUGCGGCUAAAAGUCGGAGGAAGUGGGAUGACGUCAAAUCAUCAUGCCCCUUAUGACCUGGGCUACACACGUGCUACAAUGGGCGGUACAAAGGGUCGCGAACCCGCGAGGGGGAGCCAAUCCCAAAAAGCCGCUCUCAGUUCGGAUUGCAGGCUGCAACUCGCCUGCAUGAAGCCGGAAUCGCUAGUAAUCGCGGAUCAGCAUGCCGCGGUGAAUACGUUCCCGGGCCUU